UGACUUCCUGGCAGGGAGAGACCGUGGCCGGCCGCGAAGGUGGCUUUCCCGGGGCGAGGCUUAUCCGUGGCACCCCGGAUGUGCUGACCCCUGCGAUUUCCCAAAUGUGGGAAACUCGACUGCAUGGUUGGUGGGGGGGGACUGCGUUCACGCUCUCCCCUG
Small nuclear RNA from Pipistrellus kuhlii (Kuhl's pipistrelle), 162 nucleotides. RefSeq annotates it as U1 spliceosomal RNA. The transcript has a single exon. The record is from RefSeq and is a predicted model, not a curated record. NCBI's taxonomy places the organism in Eukaryota, Metazoa, Chordata, Mammalia, Chiroptera, Vespertilionidae.